Molecule: unclassified non-coding RNA, 348 nt
Filed under: soil metagenome
Description: partial contains 5.8S ribosomal RNA, internal transcribed spacer 2, and large subunit ribosomal RNA
Rfam family: 5.8S ribosomal RNA (bases 1-120)
Source: RNAcentral
GAUGAAGAACGUAGCAAAAUGCGAUAAGUAAUGUGAAUUGCAGAAUUCAGUGAAUCAUCGAAUCUUUGAACGCACAUUGCGCCCGCUGGUAUUCCGGCGGGCAUGCCUGUUCGAGCGUCAUUUCAACCCUCAAGCCCCCGGGUUUGGUGUUGGGGAUCGGCUCUGCCCUUCUGGGCGGUGCCGCCCCCGAAAUACAUUGGCGGUCUCGCUGCAGCCUCCAUUGCUUAGUAGCUAACACCUCGCAACUGGAACGCGGCGCGGCCAUGCCGUAAAACCCCAACUUCUGAAUGUUGACCUCGGAUCAGGUAGGAAUACCCGCUGAACUUAAGCAUAUCAAUAAGCGGAGGA